UGCGCAGGCGGCCCGAUAAGUCAGGGGUGAAAUAUGACGGCUCAACCGUCAAACUGCCCCUGAAACUGUCAGGCUUGAGUUCGAGAGAGGUAGGUGGAAUUCCAGGUGUAGCGGUGAAAUGCGUAAAUAUCUGGAGGAACACCGGUGGCGAAGGCGGCCUACUGGCUCGAUACUGACGCUCAGGCACGAAAGCAUGGGGAGCGAACAGGAUUAGAUACCCUGGUAGUCC
RNAcentral lists this ribosomal RNA (229 nucleotides) under uncultured bacterium. RNAcentral's name for it is "partial 16S ribosomal RNA". It matches the Rfam family "Bacterial small subunit ribosomal RNA", at positions 568 to 796 of the family's 1533-position model. The record is from RNAcentral.